Molecule: long non-coding RNA, 37521 nt
Filed under: Triticum aestivum (bread wheat)
Lineage: Eukaryota; Viridiplantae; Streptophyta; Magnoliopsida; Poales; Poaceae
Description: long non-coding RNA (TAES_LNC028148)
Source: RNAcentral
AGGAGCUGUGGAGACAUGGUUGGACUUCAUUACAUGUUGCUGCCACAAUCAAGAGAUGGAAGAGUCCAGAUGGCGGCAGUUUUGAUGCUUACUUGUGAAAAUGGUGUGAUAUGUUUGAUGAUAAUACUUUCUAGUAUGUGUUUUCUUGACCUGUCAGUCUUCUGAUGCGUAGACACAGAGCAGAACUUCUAUGGCACGGAAUGCAAGAGAAGAACAGACUUGUUGUGGAUGCUAAAUUCUGUGCUUGUUUGUUUUGCUGUCCGUCUCAUUCUGUCAUUCGCCUUAAAACUUUUGCCCAUAAGCACUCUGGGCGGUUGGCCUUUUAGAAAUUUUAUUAUAUAAUUGGGGCCAUCCGAUCUCUCUUUCCCCUAUCAACCGUGCGAGAAUCGCUGGCCGCUGCCUCGGUAGACUUACGCCUUCCACGCCAGCGACGUUGACGUACGGACUCGAGGAGAAGCACAACGGCCACCCUUCCCGGCCAUGUUCGUCGUGAUCGCUGAUGGCCGCUGUCUGACAUGCAAACAACGUUGCACAUCUCUGAGUCUGGCUGCUGCCACUUCGAACAUCCACAGCUGGAUCUCUCAAACCAUCUUUCAUAUGCUUGCGGACGCGCCCCGAUCAGUGGCCGGAUAGGAGAGAAGGAAAAAAAUGACCCAACUAGACCCCCCAUAUCUUUCAUCUUUCAUAUGCUUGCGGACGCGCCCUGAUCAAUGACCGAAUAGGAGAGAGAGGGAAAAAAGUAACCCAACUGGACCCCUCAUAUCUUUCCUAUAUGUCUGGUCUGUCCGCGAACCCGUGUAUCUAUCUCAAAUAUGGGGGGAUAUGAGGGCUCGCGGACAAGCCGGGGCGCGCCCGAUCAAUCCGUCACAUAAGACGCGGCCUCACCCUCGACCACCUUUUCUCUUCCUUUAAUCAUUCUUUUCUUUCUCCAUCUUUAUCUACCUCAAUCAUGGGCAAGUGACCGGACAGAUGAGGAAGAAAAUGAGGACUGCGCGGAUGAAUAAAUAGGGGGAGAACGUUCAUCAUCCGACUGAUCUUUCUCUCUCAUAAGCCUCCUUCUCCACGCGCCACGUACCCACGUCAGGCUGCCCACCGCUUCGCCCCAGCCUUAUCCUAUCUCUAACGAAGCUCCUCCACUCAUUUCUUCAUUUUUUUCUCCCUCUUACAACUCAUCGCCAGAGGAGAUUAGCCAUGGUGAGCACCACCACCAGCAGCUAGAAAAUCAGAAGAGUUUGACGCCGGCCGUAGGCACUAGCGUCGGAGCUCCUCCCUUGCAUUGCUGCAGGCGGCAUAGCUGCAAAGCAGCGUCCAUGGAGCGAAGCCAUGGCGAGCACCACCACAGCAGCGGGGGAACUGGGAGGUGCUGCUGGCAAUCGAAACGGCGCUCGUCGACGAACGCCGGUGCUGCUUUCAUCCAUGGCCGCCGAGAUGGGACACAGCAACUUGUCCACGGCCGUUGCGCUACGUUGCGCUAGGUUGCAAUCUUGUCUGCAUUGCGAUGCAAUCUGGUGUGCCGAUGGAGCGCUCGGCGUCGGCGGCGGAGCUGCAAUGGAGCGCUCGGAGCCGGCGGCGGAGCUGCAAUGGAAGUGCAAGUCGCCGGCGGCGGAGCUGCAAUGGAGCGCUCGGAGCCGGUGGCGGAGCUGCAAGUCGCCGGCUAUGGAGUUGCAAUGGAGCGCUCGUCGGCGGCUCCCCCGUACUGCAUCGCAGCGCUUGCCGACGGCUCAAUGUAGCAUCAUCGGUGGCUCAAUGCAGCGUCGUCCGUGGCUGAUGCAGCUUUGCCGGCAACUCUUGGGGGAGCCCGUGUCGCAAGUCGCAACUGCACGCUUGGAGUCUUCGUUGUUGCCACGACCGGCGACAGUUACGCGUUUGCAAGGCGAGGAACGGCUGGGGCAAGCUUGGUGCUGCAAGCGAGCGGCUGCGAGCUAGUUCAGGGCUGCGACCCAGUGUGUGGGGAUUUUUGGCAAGGCUGCGACACAAGGAAGACGAGGCCACGCUCGGCGUCGUAUUGCGUGAGAGCGACACGGUCAAGUACAAGUUGACUAAUCGUACGUCUGUGAGAGCUUUGAUCGGACGGCUGGGACCCGAUUGAUUUCUCAUGAAAUCAGUCGAAUGAUUUUUAGCAGCCGUCAUAAAUAGGGGUUUAAAAUAAACACGCCCGGUCACUGACCGGGCACGGCCGCAGACAUUUGAGGGAUCGAAUUAGAGGUACGUGGCUGAAGAUGCUCUUGCACCUCCAUGCAUGCAGCCCAAAAUGGUACACGGCCGCAUGAAGCACAAUUGUGCUUAAGUGUUUUUUUCUUCAAAAGUGAAAUACGGUAGUGCUUCGGUUUGGAGCGCAAUUGUGUUUUUGUGCUUUUCACAAAAGUGAAGCACAAAUGUGCUUUCGUGUGAAAGCAUAACUGCUUUUCCCGGUAAGUGAAUAACAAAUGUGCUUCCCCGUGAAACAUACUUGUGCUUUUAUGGUUAUUUUCUUUUUCUUUUUACGGUUACCGUUUUUUCAGUAUUUCGUCUUUUGUCUCUAUUUUUUGUUUGGUUUUUGGGAUUGGGCCAAAAAAAUGUUCGUCGAAACCUGUCAAAGUUCGAGGAUCUCAACGUGAGAAAUGCAACGGUAAAACGAUUCAUGAUUUGAACGGAUGGUUCAAGAGAUAAAUUAUUUUGAUGAAACAACUCUACAAAGAAAAGCACAAACAAAUCCACAUGCCUCCCGUGUAUGUGAAGAAAUCUCACCAAAAAAUUCAUAGGUUGUGACAAGAAUCGCACAUAGAUUACGCCACUUGUCACCACAAGAGAAGAUGGGACUGUCCCUUGCAAAAAGUACCCCUUAAGGUUGUAGAGCACAGGGACGAUGCCAUCAUAAGGGCAUGUAUGAUCGACCGCCUCGAGUAGUCGCGUAAUGUGAUCCCCAAGUGGCCAAGUCCAACCAUGAUCCGUUUUGGAGUAGACAUGUCUACCUGGAUAUGGAACAAGAAAACUGGGAACCUCCUAUAUGACGCAUUUUGCCUCGUAUAGGAGCUCGACGCAGACGGGCGACGCUCGACUUGGCCAGCCCACCGACACGAAAGCCACUUGUGUUUCCUAGUGCGCAACCUAAGAAAUCCUAGAAAACAAUAGAGCACGUGAGGAUUGGAUCCCACGAUCUCGCUCACACCAUACUCGCGACUGCGACCAGUUAGCCACUCCACCACACAGUCGCUGCUGAACAUGAAGCGCGAAACUCUAUAGCACACACAUCAGGGUUGAUAUAUGGAAAACAUUUUAGAAACAUUUCUUGAAAAUUGUGAACAAUUUUUAAAUGCCGCAAAUAUUUUUUGAUAUUCCAAAUUUGUUUUCUGAAAAAAUGUGAACAACUUUUGUAAUAUAGAAUUAGAAAACACGGACAUUUUUUGCACAACCCAAACAGUUUAAUGAAGUUGUGAACAAAUUUUGAAAAAAAGAACAUUUUUUGAAUUUCCUGAUUUUUUUUGAAAACACAAACAUAGAAAAAUUCGAAAAUGAGAACAUUUUUGAAAUACCUGAUUUUUUAAAUUGCGAUUUUAAUAAAAGAGAACAUUUUUUGAAACACGGACAUUUUUCGAAAUUGUGAACAAAAUAUGAAAAUAAAAACAUUUUUUGAAAUUCUUGAAAAUUUGUUGAAAUUGGCAACAAAUUUUAAAAAUGAGAAAAUAUUUUGAAAUUCCAAAUAAUUAUUACAAAUUUUCAAACAAAAGAAACAUUUAAAAGGAAAUAGAAAAUAGGAAAUAAAAAAGAAAUAAAAAAGAAAAUGAGAGAGAAGCAGAACAAGAAAAAAAGAAAAAGAAAAUGAGAGAGAAGGUUCUAGAAGGUUCCCAAAACCGAUAAAAACCGCUAGGAACCCUCUAGAAGAUUCCCAAAACUAUAACGUUGUACAUAUUACAGAUUGGCUGGCCCAAUCGCUCGCUCGGACGCUUCCUAUGUGCGAUUGGUCGGUAGUUUGAUGCAAAAUGCAUUAAACAUGGAUUUCCGGAAAACUUAUCGUGGUCUAGACUUAAGUAACAAAAAAGGGUAGAAGUAGCCCAGUUGUAGCCCAAAUUUGAUAUCUAUAAUUGUCUGAGUGCCGACCGUGUAGGUAAUCCCUAUUUUGCGCUUCAGGCGCCAGUUAUAGGCCAUUUUGCUUUUUUUUGAGGUAAACAGCUAAGUUUUAUUCAUCAAUCCAUAUGUCUACAAGUACUCCCUCCGUUCCUUUUAUGUAAGGUGUAUUAUUUCCGGCACGGUGACCAAGACACAGAAAUAUAUGCAUGUUAGGACGAAAUUACCCUUGACAAAUUUAUUUGUUAGUGCUAAGUAAAUCAGUUAGUCAAGGAAAUUAAAGUAUGAGAUACAUGCAAUUGACAGAGAGAUACUUUCCUUCUUUUGUUACAAGGAGAGAUACAGACAAUCAGGAGAGAGAUACUUUCCCUUUUUCUGGAGGGCUAACAAGAGAAUUAUGUGGAAUUAGAAAAAAUGCACCUUACAUUCUACAAUUUUAUCAAAAAACAAAUACACCUUAUAUAAAGAAACGGAGGGAGUAUUACAUAAGGAUCAUGUGGUUGCCCCAACCAAAUGUGGCGGCCUUGAUCCAACUUAAGAGCAUGCGUAGCUAGUUUAUGUGGCUCAACAUUUGAGCUCCUAGAUUAAAAUUUAAAAACACAAGAAAUGAAGAGAUAUUUCCACUCCAAAAUCUCCUUGACUACUCCACCAUAGUUUCCACCCUACACUUCCUUGAUAUGCUUAACAACUGUUUCGCAAUCCGACACGAUCACUAAGUUUGUAGCCCAAGAUCUUCUGCUAGUUAUAGUCCCUCCCGGCAUGCUAUAGCUCAAGACUGGCUGGGUCCGUCAGGCCCCGUAUGACAAAAACAAAAGAACCCAAAUAUGCACCUGAGCCAUUUCUACACACCGCGGUCGCUGUCCCGACACCACGAGAGACGGCGGCAUCAACAUUGAUCUUCAAAUGACCCUGAACAGCCGGAAUCCAUCUCCUUGGUGCUGCUACUGCUGUAUUACAUACCCAGUUCCCACUAGAGGGGUGAAUCUCUCCCAGCUCCAUAAUGAAGUGGGUAAUGAACAUAUAAGUGGACAGAGGGCUCUGAUCAAUUCCCUCAUGAAUCAGUCUGUGCCGCGCCCACCAUAUAGGCCAGGUAGUGACUGUUAACUUAAUAAAUAUCUCAUGCGAGAGCUGCUCAAACAGAGUAAACAACUAGUCCUCGCGUUCUGUUCAUUAUUUUCCAUCAACUCUUCGAUCAGCUCCUUGUCAACUAAUGACCACACACAACGAGCAGCCGUACAAUCCAGUAGGUUGUGCCUCCAAGAGUCCAGCAUGCCACAAAUAGCGCAAGUACAUGUUGCCGACAUAUUCUGGUGCAUUCUCAUGUCUUCCGUCGGUAUGGAAUGAUGCACUAGUCUCCAUAAAAAUACUCAGAGUUUCGUCUCCAUCAAAAUACUCAGAGUUUCGUUGGAACGUAAGUUUUCCAUAGUUUGACCCAACUCUUAUCCUCUUCCUUCCUACUCUAGGGCCCCGGGCGCUGUUCUAACAAGUCUUCACGCCGGCACUUUGUUUCAACUAUCAUACGAUAAGCAGACCUAAUAGAAAACUUCCCAGAUUUUUCAUGCAUCCAUCACCAGUAAUCAUCCACAACUCAAGCAAAUAGGGAUUUGCAGUAUCUCAGCCGCAUCACAAGGCAGAAAAACAUGGUUUACGAGCUCCAUAUUUCAUCGGGCGUUCACUGUAUCAAUUAAUUUAGAGACAAGUUGCGGUGGAUCCAGCACUCUAGACACCAUCGGCCUCAUGAACUCCGGUCUUGGGAUCCAGUCAGUGUUCCUGAUUUUCAUGGAGGAACCAUCACCCAGUGGCGGAGCUUGGGACACAUCUUAGGAGGGGCAAAUGGGCUGGGGGGAGGGGGGGCAACCAACAUCUGGUUUAGGCUAGAUUUCUAUGAAUCUGUGGGCAGUUUACUCAUGAUAAUAUGAACAAAUCUCCUGGGCAGGGGGGGCGAUGGCCCAGGUUGAUCUUCACUAAGCUCCGCCACUGCCAUCACCUAUGCAUCUAACCAAGCCCUAUUUCAUGAUAUCCCUACCCUCCAAUAUUGAUCUCCAAACCUGGGAAGGGUGAUUUGAUUUCCCAAGUUGGCCUCAAGGAUGGAGCAUGAGGGAAAAAUACACAAUCUUCAGUAUGCGAGCACCGAGAAUGUUGAGGGAAACUAGAAUCCUCCAAGAUUGUUGACCAAGUUGAACAAUUCAAAAUCCCUGAAACCAAGGCCACCCAUGUACCUUGGCAUAGUCAUCUUGUCCCAUGAAACCCAAUAGGGCUUUCUCUUCCCCUGUUUGCUUCCCCACCAAAAGGCCCUAAUAGCUGAAGUUUAUUUUUCACACAACCCACGUGGGAUCUUGAAACACGACAUCGAGAAGACAAGAAUAGCUUGUGCCACUGAUUUGAUUAAAACAUCUUUACCUGCUGCUGAAAGUGUUUUCUCCAUCCACCCUCUAAUCUGUUCCACAGCCGGUCAGCAGAUACUUGAAGGCACCAUUUUUGGAUGAUCCUACAUCCCCAAAUAUUUCUCACUUAGUUGCUCAUUGGGAAAUUGUAAAAUAAUCUUCACCUAUGCUCUUACCACUUUUGGACACCCUUUACUAAAGAAAAUCGAUGAUUUGUCUUUAUUUACUCUCUGUCCAGAUGCUCUAGCAUAGGCAAAAUGGACUCCGCCGACGAGUUCUUUUUCCGUAAAUUCCUUUGCGACUCCGACGAUUCAUCGUCCGAUGAUGAUGAGGAGAUCUUGGUGUUGGGGAACGUUGCAUGAAAAACAAAAAAUUUCUAUGCACACACAAGAUCUAUCCAUGGAGAUGUAUAGCUACGAGAGGGGAGAGUAUCUUCAUACCCUUGAAGAUCGCUAAGCGGAAGCAUUUAUCAACGCGGUUGAUGUAGUCGUAUACCUUCACGAUUCGUCCUGAUCAAGUACUGAAUGUACGGCACCUCCGUAUUCAGCACAUGUUCAGCUCGAUAAUGUCCUCGCCUUCUUGAUCCAGCAAGAGGGGCGAAGUAGUAGAUGAGUUCCGGCAGCAUGACGGCGUGGUGAUGGUGUUGGUGAAGAACAAUCCCGCAGGGCUUUGCCAAGCACAACGGAAACUAGACAGAGGAUAAACUAGAGUGACGGGGUUGCCAGCACACGGCUUAGUGAAUUUCGAUGUGUCCCGUGUGCUAGCCCCGCCUCUCUAUUUAUAUGUUGAGCCCUUGGUUAAAACUUGGAGUAAAAGCCUUCUCGAAGUCGGUUUUGCCCGAUAGGCAAGAGUCCUUCUCGGACUCGAGGACCAGACGCCACAGUCCUUGGCCUCUGGCCCAGACGCCAUGGGCCUCGACAUCUUGCCCAGGGCCAGACGCCAGGGUCUCCGGGAUUUGGUCUCUGACCUCCGCAAAACUUCCUUUUGCACCGACCUAAAGCCCCCUGGGCCUUACCCGUUGGCCUAACCAUAUCAUCAUAUAUAUCAAUCUUUACCUCCGGACCAUUCCGGAGCUCCUCGUCAUUUCUGUGAUCUCAUCCGGGACUCCGAACAACAUCCGGUCCACAACAUACAUAACUCAUAUAAUAUUAUAUCAUCAACGAACGUUAAGUGUGCAGACCCUAUGGGUUCGAGAAUGAUGUAGACAUGACCGAGACGCUUCUCUAGUCAAUAACCAAUAGUGGGACCUGGUGGAUGACCAUAUUGGUUCCUACGGGUUCGGUACUAGAUCGGUUGGAUCGUGAAGACGUUCGACUACAUCAACCACGUUAACCUAACGCUUCCGCUUUUGGUCUACGAGGGUACGUGGACACACUCUCCCCUCUCGUUGCUAUGCAUCUCCUAGAUAGAUCUUGCGUGAGCGCAGAUUUUUUUUUUGAAAUUGCAUGCUACGUUCCCCAACAAUUUGUGCGCUUUACCAAGACCAAUGUCGUGAAACACACCAUGGUAUAUUUUGUAUCUUUUCUCUUUUUUCCUUCAUAGCACUAUAUGGCAAGAUGUCUAACAUUGUGUGCUCUAUUUUGUUUCUAAUCACGGGGAUCAUAGAAAUUUUCUAUGCGACGUGGUUUAUUUGCAAGCUUUAGAUGUCUUGAGCAAGAAUCUAUUAGAUUAAGAUGGUUGCAAAACGGAAUUAAAAAGUAUAUGUGUGAAGCAAUUAUUGUUGAACUAAUAAAAAUACAUAUGCCCAUGUUCCAACACAUGGGUAAUUAACUAGUCUACUAUAGACAAACAUACAUUUAGCAAUCAACACCUUUCUUCUACCAGAUAUGUGUCAACACAUGCCAUUGCCUCCGGGAUUACCUCCAUGCCGCCGCCUUGGUUACCUUCCCCUCUCCAUUCCAACAGCCUUGUCGGUGAUUAGAUAAGUGGGGCAAUGUCCCUUCGUAAUUCUUAGUUAUAGUGAUUCCUUAUAUUUUUACCUUAGGUUUUGGUUUCACCACGGCAUCGAUGAGGUGGCGAUCACAUGGAUGGUUGGAAGAAGGUCUCUUUGGCAUGUCUCUACCUUGAAGACAUAUGAUCUGAUGCUUAUGAAGGGCCAGUGAGGAUAGGUGAUGCGAGAUAUCUUGGCUCCCUUUGGGUCUGGCACUUGAUGUGUGGAUAAAAGAGAGUGGUUGGCUAGCUUUUGGUGCAGUGACUUUGACUUCUUCUUUCAGUUCUAUCUAUGGCAAUCUGAUUUCUUCCACCCUGUAGAUUGGUGGAGUAGGAUUGAAUGUCUGCGCUGUUCAAUGGGUGACUAUUGCAUUCAACGGUUCAAGAAUGCACUAGAUGAUGCUCCUUCAACGGUUACUAUAUUUCUUUGCUAUCAAUGGGUGACACUUGCAUUCUUGAAAGGCUUAUGUGAUGAGGGUGUCCGCAACUCUUCCUUUUCCGUACAAUCUUCUCAGUGCAUUCUUCAAGCUCAAGUAUAUGACAAACUGUCGAAGGAAGAUGUCAAGAAAGGCAUUGAAUAUGAUAUUAUUUUUAGAGGUCGUUUUAUGCCACGUUACCCCUUUUGUACUAACUAUUGUAUUCACUAAUAAAUAUUAUCUGUAAGAUGCCCUUGGGUAUCAUCUCUAAAAAAAUAUAGACACUUCUAUCAAGAUAUUUGUUGGAUACUUCUCUAUAGUUCAAACACUUUGUCAUUAUGUUGCAGGACACAAAAUGCAGUAGGACGUAUACAUGUCUUAAGCCUUAUAUUUACUAUUUAUUAACCAGGAUAUGUUCUUUCUGAUUGUUCAUCCCCACCUCUCACGUAUAUUUUACUGCUAAGGAUAUUCUAAAAAAUGACAAACUAACUUGAAUUCAAGAUAACUAAUCUACAAUAAACAAAACUUAACCACGCCUGUCAAAUCUCUAAAAAAUUAUAAUAAAUAUAUAGAGGCCUGUAAUUUCAUAUUUAUCUUUAGUUUUCUGCAUGCCUAGAAAGAGCCAAUCUAAAAUAUUUUCCUAAAUGCAAAUUUAUCAAGAUGAGAACAAUUCAUGUUAUUUCUAUUGUAAAAUGCAAUUCAGAAUCAGACUAAACGGUUGGAAAUAUUAAACUUAUGUGGUUAAUUUUGUUAGGUGUAAUAAAAAACUGUAUUUACAAAAUAAUCAUAAAACUUCUUCCUGGAAAUACCAAGGGUUCAUCAGUCCAAUCAGACCAGUUUAUGUAUUCAAUGUAAGACCCACCAUGAGAUGCAAGUCUGUCUCUUCAAGCUCUUAGCUGAUGCAUAAGAAAUCGGGGCAGCAAAAAAGUUCUGUCGAAAGGUUUGAUGAUUGGGCAGGAACAAAUUCGUUUGAAUCAACGAGCUACUGGUUAUGGGCAGCAAGUUAGUAUUAUUCUUGCUCAAUAUAAUGCAUGCAUUUUCAUUUUUUGUGUAGGUUGCUAUUUGUGAUUCACCUCAAUGUACUUGGUUUUUUGAUAGUUCAUUUCUCAUACGACAUGAACUUCUGGUUGUUCUUACUGAAAGUGUAAUUCAAUAUGACCUAAGUUAUACAAUAUGAUUUUUUUCUUCAAUUGAAAAUAAUAAUUUCCGGAUUUUACAUUCUUGCAAGGGUAGAAGAGGUUGCAGACAAACCAAUUUAUAUGUGGACACUUCAUAUUGUCAGUGGGCAUACUCUUGGUCAUUUAUGUGCUGCAAUGGUGCCUCUUUUUUUUAUUCUCAUGUUAGCGAAAAGGACAAGGCCAAUUUAACCAGAAAGGUAUGAACUGAUAAUUCCAUAGACUCAUGUGUAAAGUGGAAUUUGAUUCAACCGUGCAUGAUUUUUCUUACCAAACUUAAUGUGGUGAGUACCAGUCCAACAAAUACUUUCCUCGUUCCUUUCCAAAUAUUUGUGUUUCUUCAUCCAGUCUAGUUCUGCUAACAAUUUCACCACAUUAAGGUUGGAUUUGCUCAUGUGACAUGGUUGUUUGUUUGGUUGUGUGGUGAAGGGCAUGUGCUUGGAGAUGGGGAAGUGUCUCAUCCAUGAUCCACACAAUAUAUUUGAUGCAUUUAUUGGAUACAUUUAUUUAACAAUCAUUGAAAAAAUUGCGAACGCCACUGCGUUGCAUCAUUAUGCCAUACAUUAUUUUAUUGCAUUCAUCUGCUUAUGCAUUUUGGCCACCACUAGAGUUUCCAUUGUUUUAUAAGUAUAUUGUAAUUUUUAUGCUGACCAAUAUGUCCAAAUGCUCUUAUAUAUCAACUACUCAACCAUAUGCAGUGCGUGUUUAUGUCUUGUAGGGGUAAAAUCAACAACAAAAACAACAACAACAACGACGACGAUAACAAAGCCUUUAGUCCCAAACAAGUUGGGGUAGGCUAUGCUGAAACCCAUAACAUCUCACAACGAACUCAUGGAUCUGGCACAUGGAUAGCUAGCUUUUACGCACCUCUGUUCAUGGUUAGUUCUUUGGUGAUACUCCAGUCAUUCAGAUCUCACUUUACGGACUCCUCCUAUGUCAAGUUUGGUCUACACCGACCUCUCUUGACAUUAUACUCCUUAAUGACCCUCUCUUUGGAUGGUUGAGCUACCCCCGGGCUUCCACCACUUCGUUCUAGUGACUUUGGCACGCUUAUCCUGUUGGGACAUGAAUCCGAAAGAGAAAGUCAUUCACCACAAGCUUAUGCUGAGGGACAACACUCUCUCCAGGUAUCACCUUACAAUCAAGACAAGCACGCCAGUCUUCUCUUCUCAAGAGGAUGAAAUCAAUCUCACUAGAGUGUUGACCACUACUAAGAGUCACUAGAUGUGAUUCGUGUUAAAGUGGAUGUUAGCUAUGAUCAUCGUAGGCUAGAGGAAAUCUUAAGACAUCUUCUCCUUCUUGAUUCCUGAUGCGAUAGCCAAAGCCCCGAUGCAUCGCUUCAAAACCUAUGUUAGAUGUAUCCACGUGGCCAUUGAGGUAUCCUCCUAUGAAGAGCUUCUUGCCAAUAGGUACUCCUAACCAUGUUCUCCAUGCCUUCCUAGAACUCCUUGGUGUUCUCAUUGUGGCCUACUUGCGGGGCAUACACGUUGAUAACAUUUAGAACUAAGUCCCCAGCUUGACCAGGACAAUCUGGUCCCCACGCCUCCUGACGUCUACCACUCCACACUUGAGGCUCUUGUUGAUCAAGAUGUCUAUUCCAUUCCUGUUUGUAGUUGUCCCCGUGUACCAUAGCUUGAAGCCGGUAUCUCCACCUCCUUUGCUUUCUAUCCUCUCCAUUUGGUUUCUUGGACUCAAAAUGAUAUCAACACCUCUCCUCACCGCUGUAUGAACUAGCCCCUGAAGUUUACCUGUCAGGGUUCCUAUUUUCCAGCUACCUAAACGAGUCCUCCUAGGCUCGGCUAGCUUCCUUAUUCUUCACAGUCGUCGAGUCAAAUGCGAAGACCCUUCAUUUUUCAUUACACGCGGGCGUCGAUGUAGCGCACCACUAAGGAUGCGAUGUGACGACCUGAUCCUUGCUCACUUGUCACCGUAUCCAGAUCAAGAUACUACGCGCCACCUGGUGGGUGACGGCCCGGCCCUUGCCCAUUUGACACAACACCAGGGUUCUGAUAUGGCGCAUCGCUGAGAGGGUUACGCCCCAAAGAUUUUAUUCUAGGUUCAUCUCCAUUAAGAGUGGCUGAGUUCUUGAUGUUGGCUCGCCAAGCCUAUCACAACUCUCGUUUACUCGGGCUUGGGACCGGCUAUGUUGAGACAACAUAGGCAGAGUUGUCUUGUAGGGUACACACAAAGAGUAUAAUUUUGAUUACAUGAUCUGACAAUUUCCCUCGUUUCAGACACAUGAUUCUAGUGCAUCAUCAAUUAAUGCUUGCUUUCAUGGUCUGCUUAUUGGUGCCCAAGAUGAUCUGCCUAUGGAUGCCCAAGUUACAAGUAUGAUAAUCUUCUGAUCCAUGUCCAAGCAAAUAAGAGUCACUCCACAUAUUGACCAUGUUGCUGCUUUGUCUAGAGGCCUGACACUACAUAAUUACUAACCUCCCUUGACAAUUGACUCAUUCCAUACCAUACUAUGUGCAUUAUGUUAUUAUGGAGGUAAUUAUACAAUGAUAACUUUACUACCAUGUCAUGCUUUCUCCACAAUUUUAGAAAGUAAAAUCUGUCUCUAGCAUGCAUGUGAUUCUUGCAUUGAUAUUUAUUUAUUUGGAUAACCUAAUUAACUUCUUCCACACUCGUGAAAAUUAGAUAAGUUCUUUUUCAUGUGUGACUUAUUGACUGUGUUGUUGCUCUAAAUCAGGUUAGUGCCAAAAUGUAUGAAAUCAACAUUUUGAUGUGGGAGUUUAGUGCUCGUCAUGUGGCUAAUCAGGCAAAGACCUCAGAGGAGCGAGGAAUGUUAGAAACCCCAAUUUGUGCUCCGCAAAUAGUCCCGCGUAUUCGUGGCCUUUAUGGGAUGGACAUUCUUACAAAGUGAACGAUCGGAUGAGUCCAUAUUUGGAUUAUGGGGCACGUCCGCUGUUGGCAAGACACGGCUUCUUUCGCUUAUCGCUGAUAGCUAUGCUGAUUCAUUUCAUCACGUCAUAUUUCUUGAUGGUGGCAGUUGCCUGAGAGUCAUGCAAAAUCAUUUCGCAUAUUUUUUGAAAUUGGAUUGGGAGACAAUCUCAUUGUUAGAGGAGCAUUACCGAGCUAAAAUCAUUAUGGAGUACCUAAGAGCAUGUCAGUUUUUUGGUUCUGUUAGACGAUGUGCAAGAUGAAGUCUACCCAGAUUUAACAGCUCUUGGUUUGCCGAUGGCUGUUGGGCAUCGGCAAAAAGUUGUUCUUACGGCGAGGAGUCAGGUAGUAUGUGCUCGCAUGGAAUGCACCAUAUCAAACACUCUGGAGAUGAAGUGUCUUGGGGAUGAAGAUGCUUGGAGUCUUUUCGAGUAUAAUGCGGGAGUAAAAAUCACAGAAGCUAAUACUGAAAUUUAUGAAUAUGCAAAACAAGUAUUAUAUAUUUCUACAUAAUAACUUUUCAGAUAUACGUUUAACCUACAAAUAAAAACUGUGCACUAUAAUUUAUAGUUUAUAUUGGUUAUUAGAUGGUUUCAGCAUGUGGAGGGUUGCCUAGAGCCAUAUGUGCUAUUGGCCUGGGCAUUCGGUUACACCGAACCGAUCGGUUCGGUGCCUCGGUCUAUUUUUAAUUUCGGUUUCCAAAUUUUAUGGACCGAUCGGUCUUUUGAGAAUUCACUAACCGAGGCUUUCGGUCCAGCGAGAAUUCGGCUCGGUCCUCGGUUAUAACCGAAGGGGACUUGUUUUCUACGGAAACACUAACGCCCACAUGUGUGGGCGUUCUCCAACUCGCCCACACAUCUAGAUGGUCGUUGAUUGUCUUUUGCACGAAUCUUGACACGAAAAGGUGGAUUUGAUGUGCCACAUAGGACGGGGCUAGUGUGUGGGCGUUGGAGAGUUUGCCCACACGCCCCGCAUCACGCUGUUGCCAGCUGCGAUGUGUGGGUGAACUAGUUUCUGCCCACACAGCCACCACCUAGUCCAUGCGCGUGUGGGCGAACUGAUUUUCACCCACACAACAAUCCUACAUUAUGGAUGGCAACUGCAGUUACGUGAACAUGGCAACUAGGUAAACAAACAUGGUAACUGUGAUUCUUUUGCUAGACGGCAACUGCAGUUGCGCGUGUGUGGCAAACAGAUAAACACACAUGGCAACUGCGAUUAACUGUGCAUGGCAACUAUGGUUGGACCACACGUGGCAACUAGGUAAACACACAUGGCAACUACUGUUUGAGCAUGUGUGGCAAGUAGUUAAUCACACACGGCAACUACGAUUUUAAUUACACGCGGCAACUACCAUAAAUUAGACAUGGCAACUAUAAUUGAUCAAAACAAAUAGAGUUGCCAUGCUUUUACAACUACACUUGCCAUCCCGGAUAACUACAUCUGCCAACCAGGAUGGCAACUAAAUCGUCAUCCCGCGGGUACCUAACGUUGCUGCGCUAGGACGUGUGGGCAUUUUUGCUUCGUGCCACACGCGUGGGGUGGAGAUGAGUAGUACUUGUUGGGCGUGUGGCACGAAGUAGCCGCGCCCACACGUGUGUGCAAUUCUAAUGUCCGCCCACACACAACCCGUGUGGGCUGCCUCCUGCUCACACCACACAUGGUGUGUGGCCAGACCCUUUAACGCCCACACGUGUGGGCGUUAUCGACGUCCUUUUUCUAACUUGAAGAGAGAACAUACUGGAUUGGAAGGAAUAAAUCGGAAGGCAAAUUCUAAGCGAGAAACAAGUUCGGAAAAGGAAUCGAUCCAAACAUGCAUUGCGCUGCCUAAUAUGGCUCAAUCAGGCCGCUCGUGGCAACCUUUGCAUAGCAUACAUGAAUGGUACAAGGAAAGACAUACAAUAGGAUACUAGAUAGGGAUCGCGCCGUGGCGCGAGGGUGCUGGUCAAAAUGUUUGUAUGCACAUAAUAAGAAGCUACUUAACAAUGCAUGAACAUAGAAAGCAUUUUUCACGAUAGGUUAGCACCAAAUAUCUUAGGCAUAGAAGAUACGACAACACGUCGCUUAAAGACAAUUUACAACUAUGCAUAGAUAACUUUAAGUUUUAGGCAUAACGUAGACGUUUAGGCAUAGAAGAUACGACAACACGUCGCUUACAGACAUUUUAGGCAUAGAAGAUACGGUAACACGUCUCUUACAGACAAUUUACAACAUGGGUCUUGCCGUCCUCAUGAACAACGCGUUCAUACUGAGCCGGUGAUAGUCCAAGGUGUGCCAGGAGCAUGCCAAGAAUUGCCGUGUGUGGGAUCCUAAGCACUCGCUUGGUGUCCUGCAGUUCCCAAUAAUAUAAAACAUAAGGCCUUGGGGAAUUGCCCAAAACAAUUGCGGAUAAAAGCAACCAUAGUGAUAAAAAAGAUAUGCCAAGCCUAUCCUUUAAUCAGGAUUUUGUUUAGGAUGUGCCAAGCAUUUAAAAAAACAGACUAUGAAUCAGGAUUUUGUUGCAAACAUACUGAAUGAUGGAAUGAGAAGAGGAAUAUAUUCAUGAAAUAAAGCAAGAGAGAUAAAGUUGAAAGGAAAGAAGUGCAGAGCUUGCAGGUGAAAAACAUCAUAUAAAAUGUAUAAUCACCAAUCAGGCAAUUUCAAGAUAUCAUGACUUAUUGCUGUGAUUAAAACAAAGCUUGUUGAUGAAUGAUUGGAAUCAGCUAUUCACUGAAUAAAUAUAUUCAUGGCGUAGUUUCAGUUUUGUGCCAUGAAGAGAGGCCGUCGAGUGUGAUAUCUAGAACAGAGAUGACCAUAUAUAUCAAGAAUGGUGAGGUAUGAAGAAAACAAACUCUCUAAGGAACACAUGCAGGUAGGUAUUUUUUUCUUGGAUUCUAUUGCUUCUACCUGAAUCUCAAGGUAUACAGUGACAUCCACGAUUAGCGGAAUUAAGCAACAACGACAUGCUCUCUGAUUUCAAUGUAACAUGUUUCAAUUCCUCUAUAACCCCUGUGUUUUAUCAAAACAAGCGCACAAACAAGAUAAUCAUCGAAACAAUAUUAUGUUCUCAACAAGGCUAUGUGCAUUCUUCUCAAGUCUGAGAUAUGCACGUACUGUGGUCUUAGAUCAAUUGAUAAUCACCAGAACUAACUACAGUACAUAGUUUGUGAAUCAAAAGUGAGAAAAUACCAGGAAGAUGAUUUGUGUAGUUGCAAGAGCUCAGGGGAAAGGAGAGUAGGCGGACCUGCUUGCUGGAGCUCCUUGACUGGCCAGUUGAACGUGCAGCCACAGUCGAGAGAGUGCUACUACCUUACAUGAGAGCAUGUUAAAUGGAAAAAACUCAAAUCCCUAACAAGAACAUUUUUUGAAAGAUCCAUAAAAUCCAGAUCGGGAUAGCGGGACUAACACGAACUCAUCCUUCACGCGAGCACCGCCACUCGAUGGAGAUGGUCGGUACCCCACGCCACUCCACGCAUCAUCAUAUUCCUCCUUCACGCGAGCACCGCUGCUCGGCAGCCUCCACAUCUGCCGGCUCGGCUCCCUCGGCGGCCGCUGUGCCCCACGCCGACAUAAGCGCCCAUCCAAAGGGAAAUAAAGAAGUAGACAACAAAACAAAGAGCGAUGUUAAUAUAACCACAUCAUUCAAUUCACGUGUCAAGAUACAAUAGGAAGUCUUUCCACCAAGCGGCUUGAUACAUACAAUUAAACUCAGGAAAAUAAUUUUCACCACUCAUAGAUAAUAAGCAGCUGUAAGGGGGCACACAGACAACCGCAUACCAGUAUACAUGCAAAUAACUUCAAAUAAACGUAUGCCACAGGAAAAGUAAACUCCAACAUAUUACCAAAGAGACAAUAAAAGCUCUGAGCCGAAAAAUCUAAGAAAUGCUCAAAUCAGUUUACUUAAUAGUUACGAAAUUAAUUAUUCUCGGUCAGGUGGUUCUGGUAUACUUAAGAAAACACUUGUAGACUUCAAGUACAGAUAAAUACUCAAGCUACAUGGAACUAUAGUCAACAACAUAGUUCUAUAAUAACAAGUGAUUCCAAUUAAACACAAGUGCUCAGAACCAUGGAACUGGAGCUUUAUAAAAUCAUGCUACUAAUUAUCUUAGAGACCAAUUAAACUCAUAUGCGGACCAUGGUCAACUGUGGGUUUAUACACUCGUCAGAAAUAUUGGCCACGAAAAACAUAACAGCAUUAAUACAGUCAACACAUACCUCAAGUACUGAAGGACUGAGGCACUGAUCAUCUGUUUGACUCAUUUUCACUUCUGCAUACGCUACUUUUAUAAAGUGAUCGAGCAGGGGUGCAGCAUCGUCGAGCAGGGGCGGCGGCGACAGCCAGACCACCUUGAGCACCACGGUCCGGAAGCCAAGAGGAUGAGCAGACGAAAAUCAGAAUGGAUUAACCAGGAAACCCUAGACAAAUCCCAAAAAAACAACAAAUCCCUUGAUGAGCACAUACACAUCACAAAGGGAAAGACAAACAAGGGAGCAAAUAAUCACCUCAGCCAUCUUAGAAGCCCACUCGGUGUGCUCCCUCUCUGGCCGACCCGCAAGACAGCCCCAACGCCACGCCACCGUCCCAACCGUGAAACAGCCAGAGAAGCAAGGAAGAUGGUAAGAAACAAGCGAAAUAAAAGGUAGUGGGAUCCAAUACAAACAUUAACCAUCCUAAAGACGUUGUUAUUAGAAACAUGACACUGUGGUUUCUGAUGGUUUAUCAUCAAAUUAAAACAAGACAUUGAACCGACGACUUGCUUACUCUUAACCAGAUGAAAUCAAGGACCAACAACAAACAAUAAAAGUCAAGAACAACUUAUAUGCAAUAAAGGUAUGAGAGGGAAGAAAUAUUCACAUAAGACGGCUAUAAACACUGGAGCAUAAAUAAGCAACACCUUUAAAUACAAAUAAAAGGGUUCCGGGUUCAAUGCAUAGUGGGCUCAGAUUUGCCUUUCCUCGAUCAUAUAAUCUACCCCCGCCAUCUCUUGUCACCAGAUUAAUUUGUUUAUACAGUGGAGCUGCCCUUGUUAUCACUCAACAAGAAUGACCAUCCAAGGACAGAACAAUAAGUAUCACAUGAUCAAAAAGUAUUCUAGAGACAAGAGGGAGGACCCAACUUGAUACCCACAGGUGCCUUGAUUGCUCAAAGGAACACUUAUUUCAGCCACAGCGAAUCAUCAUCGCCCUAGCAAGGAUGGCUUCCAACUGGUGGCGCACGUGCGAAUAAAAAGGGUUCAGGGUUCAAUGCAUAUGGGCUCAGAUUUUCCUUUCCUCGAUCAUAUAAUCUACCCCCAUCAUCUCUUAUCACCAGAUCAAUCUGUUUAUACAGUGGAGCUGCCCUGAUUAUCACUCAAUAAGAAUGACCAUCCAAAGGACAGAACAAUAAGUAUCAGAGGAUCAAAAAGGAUUCUGGAGACAAGAGGGAGGACCGAACUUGAUACCCACGGCUAAUCAUCAUCGCCCUAGCAAGAAUGGCUUCCGACCGAUGGGGCACGUGAUUCAAACGCGGUGGCACGAGAUAUCUCAUUUUGGGAGUAACUAUACAUUCCCGCGGUAACUUUUUUUAUCCGAUGGACGAGGUCGUUACAGGGAUCGAUCCGACGGCCCAAGAUCCAUCAAGCAACCAGAUCCGACGGCCAGGAAUCCCAAAUCGCUGAGGAGCAGCCUGAGGAGCUUCUAUUCUUAUUUCUGGAUGGACUUAUUUCUGGAUUUCUGGAUGGAUCACCGGAUCGAUAUGUUCUUACGAGGGUUUAACUGCCAUGCUUAUCACUCAUUAGAAAUGACCAUCCAAGGUCAGAGCCACUAAAAUAAGAACGUGAUCAAAACAGCUCAAAGAAACAAGGGAGGAUCCAAAUUAAUACCCACAAGUGCCUCGACUACUUGAGAGCAUGCCUAUCUCAGCCAUAACUGAUCAUCAUAGCCCUGGCCAUGUCCCAUAUAGUCGUCGAAGCAAAGCAGGGGAAGAUGGAGCUCACAGAGGGAGGUUGUAGCCGAGGCAGUACUCAGAGGGCACCAGGGUUGCGCCUAAACGCCAUCCAACUAGUGAGGAACCACGUCGGAGUUGCGCCUUGCACCAUCCCGCCGACGAGCACGAAAGCCAUGGGCACCGAAGUGGCCAAGGAGGCGAGGAGGUGAUGUAUAGCACAUCUAGGAGCACCAUCAGAGACGACCGGGGCAACGAGCAGGCAGGGAGAGAGGCGAGGCGGCAGGGAGAGGAAAGGGCACGAUGUGAGUGCAGGCCUGCAGGGAGCGGAACAUUAGCUAUUUUUUCUUUCGCAGUAUAUAGGAAGUAUCAAACAUAUCAUAUAAGUGCAAUCAUCUUUGAUAAUAUAAGAGAGCAUAAAAAUCACAGAGCUUGUUUAAGAUAUUUUGUCACAUCAAGUAGUUUAGAUAAGAAAAGCCUAACCCAGAGUUACAAAUAAUUGGAGCGAGUGAUAGAUUUAUUAUUCUGAUAAUUUGGUAGUGACUAUACAUAAAUAAUUCAUUCGCCAACAGUAAAAAAUAUGCGAUGCAUUAUUUACACAAAACAAUAUUUUUUUGUAUAGGGUCAGAAAGAUAUUUCAGCAUUCAAAUCAAUAAGGCUGAAAUAAUCUAAGAGUAUUAUCACUAUAGAGCAACAAUUUAUGAACUCGCUGUCAGUCAAAAGUAUUAUCACUACAGAGGAACAAUGAUUUACAGAGAAGGGGAUGAGUAAGGUUUGUUUGCUCAGGACUGUGCAUCAACUAAUCACCUAAAGUAAUUUCAAUAAAUAAAAAUUUACAUAUCGACCAAGAUAAACGUCAUGGUUAAAAAAUACGUUGAUAAUAUAUACAUCAAUGACAUCUCAAAGCUCAUUUCACAACAAGACUAUUGUAAACUUGAUAUAAAUAUAUAAUGGCCCCAUAAAGAUCCCCAUCUGUAGAAACCAAGUGAAAAAUCGUUUGGAAUAUGGUGUUUAGAUAUCACUGCCCAUAAAUAUAUAAUGUCGCAUGAAAAAUGGUGUUUGUUCUAAAUGGUCACUGAAAAUACUUGUUCUUGCGCUGCAAACAUACACAGAUAAAGGGCAAGCCAACAACCGUAGGUAUUCAGUAGGCCUAUACACAUACACCUAUUUUCCUCUAUUCUAGAAUCAAGAUGCACUUUCAUGUAUUGUUAGAUUAUUUCUCAUCGUAAAGAGGAUCGAGCCAAAGCUUGAUUAUAAGUAUGUAAGCAAACAAUAUGGACAGAAGGAACAAACAUUGGGUGUCAAAUGCAAACAGUAAGCUUCAGAGAAUUUACAUCUCCUAAAAUCAUUCAAGGGAUAGUAGCCUUUUGACUACAUGGUAGGUUGGUAGGUAGAAAUACGUUCAUAUACAUUGACAUCAACAUUUUUAACCUGGGAAUAGAUAAAAAAACGGCAAAGACGCAUCUCAUAUAAUCAAAGUAAACAUGGUAGAUCCAAAGCAAUGUAUCUAAGACUUAAAUUAAGGGGAAAAUGCAAACUAAUUAAAGAUUGAAGCCAUCAAUUUCACCCCCACAAUUUGCAAAUUGUAAUGUUCUCAGAUGAACUAACUGAAUAUAUUUACAUAAGGCAAGAGAAAUCAUCAUCACUGAUAUUCCCUACAGACCUAGGUCUCUGCCAAGAAUCACACAAGUUCCUUGAUGCUCCAAAAACCAAGCGAUGUUCGAGCAAGGGAAACACGAAAAGGCGCGAGGAGAGCUCCGUCGGGAGGGAGAGGGGUAGGGUUCGUACCUUGACUACAUGAGUUCACUGUAACUUCACCUCCGGAUCCAGGCGAGGUACUCUGUAAUUUAGAAACAGAGAUUCACUACGGUGGGUCAACUACGGCACAAUCGCUGGUGAGAACAUCAGAAGAACUUAUUUUCAAACUGAAUUAAGGAAAAACAAUUGUUGCAAGUAAAUUUACCCUCUAAUUACUGAUAAAGCGCAACAACAUUCAGCUAAUGAGACAUGAGAAGGAACUUUUCAUACUGUAAUAAGGAAAACUGGGCAACAUCAAAUAUCAUCUCAUUGAUUCUGCUAUAUAACAUAUAUUCACAUAAACCAUAAGAUAUGAUUGGAACUGCAAUCUCUAAACCAAAACGGCAACAAUAGAAUCAAAGUCCACUGUAUUACUAUCUAGAAAUUGAAGAGGACUACAGAAGUAUUUUUAGUGUACAUCAAGCUUACCAGGAAAAAAAAGCAUAGCUCUUGAACUGCACAUACAUGCUUCACUAACAAAUCUUGGCCUAGCCAAAACAAAUUCACCACACCUGUACAUGAACAUUCAGGGAAAGAAAUGAAACACCACACGUGAAAAUGCAUCCUGAUAACUAAUUAACUACUCAGCAAAUCAAAUGGUAUGUUUGAAUGCCUCUUUGAUCCUAUGAAACUGUAUACAAAAGAUAAGUAAUUAUCUACUCGCCAAAUCCAGUAGUAUAUUUGAGUGACUCUUCUUAUCCUUUCUCUGAAACUAAUACAAAAGAGAGCUAAUUAGCCACCCGCAAAUCGAGUGUGAUAUUUGAACGCCUCUUCUGAUCAUUUCUCUUAAACAGUUUAGUUUACACCAACUUUAGUACUGAGCAGAAUAUGUAUGUAAAUAAACCAGAGGAGACUGGAAUUUACAUUCCUAAUUAACAAAAUCAGCUAUGUUACUAAAGGGCAGUGGCAAAGGAUAACCAUAUGCAGUUAAGCCUUGCUUAUCACCCAAUUUCAGAACCAGUCAGCCUUCUAUAAGUAUUAUCAUGCGUGCAAUCUGACACGAAGGCCAAAACAACACUAUCCAUCUUCACAAAAAUCCAUUAUACGCUUCGGUACAUCUGAGAGUUAAGGAUCUUCAUUUUUAUUUAGAUGAAAUUACUUGGUAGCUAACAAACAUACCUCGAGGGAUGUGCACACAUGAGAGAUCGCCGGUGCCCUUUCUAGCUUCGGCGGCAGACAUCCUCCCUUUGCUCUCCUUCCAAUAGAUAUUAGAGUACAUUAAACCAAAAACCAAAAGGGAACAAGGGAGUGGAAGACCAGGAAUUAAUCGGACCACAAGAAAUCUAAGGGAAAAAACUAAAAGAAGGCCAAACAAUACUUGUGCAGGACCAAAUGACGCAUCACAUAGCAAUGAAACUGGAGGUUAGAAAACUACUCAGACUUUCAUGCCAUCAUGGAUUCAAUCUGAUCUAAAUGUAACCAAAUAAUGCAUCGGAACCAUAUUGACUACUAAAAGGGCAAGCACAAGCUUGCCAAAUUUACCACAAAUGUAGCAUUGCAAUCAAAUGGGUCCAAUCUUGAUGAAAGCAAAAAUGUAUCAUAUAGCACGCACGCACACGAACAGUCACAUUAUCCUCAUCUUGCUGAAAGCAAAAAAUGUAUCAUGUACUGUAAAUUCAUACCUUGACCUGCAAAGGGUAUGGUCCAGUUUCAAUCAUGUUGGCCUUUAGAUAAGUUUUUGAACAACAAUUUCACCACCUGAACAAAAAGCAGAGGAAAGCUAGUAAAUACUUCCAACAUGUUCACCUCAGUAUAGUGGUCCUACUUAUCCAACGACCCAUAUAUCUCAAAUAGAACAGCUUAAUAUCUCAAACAACAGUGAACGUCCAGCAUGUUCUCCAAAGUUACAUAAUAUAACAUGUUCAAAGGCUGUCAAGAUCAAAAAAUAGCGAGGGGAUUUUGUAGUCACAUGGCAAAGGUAAUAAAAUUUCUUCUAAUUUAAAUCUCAGACAUCUCAAUGAAAUAAAUAAUUUGAUACAUAAUUGAAACUGAACCCUAAUCUUUUGUUGUUGAGUUGUCUUUUCGUGACUAUCAACACUUUCAGUUUUAGCGUAUGAGAUGUGUCUCUGCGUCCUCCUCCUCCCCAAGAAGUUAGGUAUUAAUUUUGAAAAUUGACAUUUGAGUGGUUUGGCGACAUGGCAUAGUAUCGGGAGGUUUCUGUGAGGAGCGAGGUGAGACGGCCACUGCCGCUGAAGGAGUGGGGAUGAUGCCAGAAUUUGACAAAAUACCAAAUUUGCAAUUCACAUGUAUCGAUUAUCAUCAGACUGUGAGACAGAGGACACCGCAUAACCAAGCUACGGCAAACAUGUAGAAGGGGAACCAUAAGUGAAAAACGAUGAAAGGAAAAAACGUAAUGGUAAAAGGCAUAUAGUAUCUUCAUAUAUGAAAAAUUAUGAAAGGAAAAAAAUGUAAUGGUAUUCUAUGGGGAUGUGUUGUAGCUUGCACCUUGAGAUAAAACUGUUUCUGUCAGCAGCAUGACUGCAUCUUGCAAGAACAUGUAGUCUCUCUUCUCUGUUUUGUCUUCUAUGUUAUGUGAACACAUAAACAGAACAAAUAUUAGACGAAAUAUGAAUUGUCUGGUUGCCUAAGAAAGUGCAUCAGAUUAAACUGUAGUAUAAUAAAUGUUCGCUUAAUGCAUUCAUCAACGGCUAGGGAGACCAAAUCAUAAUAAUCUAGGCAUACCACACCAAACAACAGAGGCCAAUGAACAUGCCAUUCUUCCUAUUCUCUUUCAGAAGCAUCAAUCCAACAGAAAACAAACCGAACCCUUUGUUUUUUCACAUGUCACUCGACAAAGAACAUCAUUUUCGAGCAAGCAAACAUGAAGGUGCCAAGUAAAAACACAAGACUAAACAGACACGAGCCAAGUGGACCAAUCCAAAUGCACCAGGCCAAUCCAAAAGGCACAUGUCCUGCUCCAUUCACCUCUUCCUGAAAGCUCACUACAAUCCUAGAGAAAGAUCCCAAUGAAGGAAAAGGUUUUCGGCCAGUUCAAGGGAUUGACUACGAUGAGACCUUCUCACCCGUAGCGAUGCUUAAGUCCGUCCGAAUCAUGUUAGCAAUUGCCGCAUUUUAUGAUUAUGAAAUUUGGCAGAUGGAUGUCAAAACUGCAUUCCUGAAUGGAUUUCUGAAAGAAGAGUUGUAUAUGAUGCAACCGGAAGGUUUUGUCGAUCCAAAAGGAGCUAACAAAGUGUGCAAGCUCCAGCGAUCCAUUUAUGGACUGGUGCAAGCCUCUCGGAGUUGGAAUAAACGUUUUGAUAGUGUGAUCAAAGCAUUUGGUUUUAUACAGACUUUCGGAGAAGCCUGUAUUUACAAGAAAGUGAGUGGGAGCUCUGUAGCAUUUCUGAUAUUAUAUGUGGAUGACAUAUUGCUGAUUGGAAAUGAUAUAGAAUUUCUGGAUAGCAUAAAGGGAUACUUGAAUAAAAGUUUUUCAAUGAAAGACCUCGGUGAAGCUGCUUACAUAUUAGGCAUUAAGAUCUAUAGAGAUAGAUCAAGACGCUUAAUUGGACUUUCACAAAGCACAUACCUUGACAAGAUUUUGAAGAAAUUCAAAAUGGAUCAAGCAAAGAAAGGAUUCUUGCCUGUAUUACAAGGUGUGAAGUUGAGUAAGACUCAAUGCCCGACCACUGCAGAAGAUAGAGAGAAUAUGAAAGAUGUUCCCUAUGCAUCAGCCAUAGGCUCUAUCAUGUAUGCAAUGCUGUGUACCAGACCUGAUGUGUGCCUUGCUAUAAGUUUAGCAGGGAGGUACCAAAGUAAUCCAGGAGUGGAUCACUGGACAGCGGUCAAGAACAUCCUGAAAUACCUGAAAAGGACUAAGGAUAUGUUUCUCGUAUAUGGAGGUGACAAAGAGCUCACCGUAAAAGGUUACGUUGAUGCAAGCUUUGACACUGAUCCGGACGAUUCUAAAUCGCAAACCGGAUACGUGUUUACAUUAAACGGUGGAGCUGUCAGUUGGUGCAGUUCUAAACAAAGCGUCAUAGCGGGAUCUACAUGUGAAGCGGAGUACAUACCUGCUUCGGAAGCAGCGAACGAAGGAGUCUGGAUGAAGGAGUUCAUAUCCGAUCUAGGUGUCAUACCUAAUGCAUCGGGUCCAAUGAAAAUCUUUUGUGACAAUACUGGUGCAAUUGCCUUGGCAAAGGAAUCCAGAUUUCACAAAAGGACCAAACACAUCAAGAGACGCUUCAACUCCAUCCGGGAUCUAGUCCAAGUGGGAGACAUAGAGAUUUGCAAGAUACAUACGGAUCAGAAUGUUGCAGACCCGUUGACUAAGCCUCUUCCACGAGCAAAACAUGAUCAGCACCAAAGUUCCAUGGGUGUUAGAAUCAUUACAGUGUAAUCUAGAUUAUUGACUCUAGUGCAAGUGGGAGACUGAAGGAAAUAUGCCCUAGAGGCAAUAAUAAAGUUAUUAUUUAUUUCCUUAUAAUCAUGAUAAAUGUUUAUUAUUCAUGCUAGAAUUGUAUUAACGAGAAACAUAAUACAUGUGUGAAUACAUAGACAAAGAAAGUGUCACUAGUAUGCCUCUACUUGACUAGCUCGUUAAUCAAAGAUGGUUAUGUUUCCUGACCAUAAACAAUGAGUUGUUAUUUGAGUAACGAGGUCACAUCAUUAGUUGAAUGAUCUGAUUGACAUGACCCAUUCCAUUAGCUUAGCACCUGAUCGUUUAGUAUGUUGCUAUUGCUUUCUUCAUGACUUAUACAUGUUCCUAUGACUAUGAGAUUAUGCAACUCCCGUUUGCCGGAGGAACACUUUGGGUGCUACCAAACGUCACAACGUACCUGGGUGAUUAUAAAGGAGCAUUACAGGUGUCUCCAAAGGUAGAUGUUGGGUUGGCGUAUUUCGAGAUUAGGAUUUGUCACUCCGAUUGUCGGAGAGGUAUCUCUGGGCCCUCUCGGUAAUGCACAUCACAUAAGCCUUGCAAGCACUGCAACUAAUAUGUUAGUUGUGAGAUGAUGUAUUACGGAACGAGUAAAGAGACUUGCCGGUAACGAGAUUGAACUAGGUAUUGGAUACUGACGAUCGAAUCUCGGGCAAGUAACAUACCGAUGACAAAGGGAACAACGUAUGUCGUUAUGCGGUCUGACCGAUAAAGAUCUUCGUAGAAUAUGUAGGAGCCAAUAUGGGCAUCCAGGUCCCGCUAUUGGUUAUUGACCAGAGACGUGUCUCGGUCAUGUCUACAUUUGUUCUCGAACCCGUAGGGUCCGCACGCUUAAGGUUACGAUGACAGUUACAUUAUGAUUUUAUGCAUUUUGAUGUACCGAAGGUUGUUCGGAGUCCCGGAUGUGAUCACGGACAUGACGAGGAGUCUCGAAAUGGUCGAGACGUAAAGAUUGAUAUAUUGGAAGCCUAUGUUUGGACGUCGGAAGUGUUCCGGGUGAAAUCGGGAUUUUACCGGGUUACCGGGAGGGUUACCGGAACCCCCCGGGAGCUAUAUGGGCCAUAGUGGGCCUUAGUGGAAAAGAUAAGGGGCUGCCCUGGAUGGGCUGCGCGCCUCCCCCCUCCCCUAGUCCUAUUAGGACUAGGAGAGGUGGCCGGCCCCCUCCUCCUCUUUUCCCCCUCCGGGGAAUCCUAAUAGGAAUAGGAUUGGAGGGGAGUCCUACUCCCGGUAGGAGUAGGACUCCUCCUGCGCCUCCCUCCUUGGCCGGCGCCUCCUCCCCCCCUUGGCUCCUUUAUAUACUGAGGUAGAGGCACCCCAAAAGACACAAGUUGAUCCACGUGAUCUAUUCCUUAGCCGUGUGCGGUGCCCCCUGCCACCAUAUACCUCGAUAAUACUGUAGCGGAGUUUAGGCGAAGCCCUGCUGCUGUAGUUCAUCAAGAUCGUCACCACGCCAUCGUGCUGACGAAACUCUUCCCCGACACUUUGCUGGAUCGGAGUCCGGGGAUCGUCAUCGAGCUGAACGUGUGCUCGAACUCGGAGGUGCCGUAGUUUCGGUGCUUGAUCGGUUGGAUCGUGAAGACGUACGACUACUUCCUCUACGUCAUGUCAUCGCUUCCGCAGUCGGUCUGCGUUGGGUACGUAGACAACACUCUCCCCUCGUUGCUAUGCAUCACAUGAUCUUGCGUGUGCGUAGGAAAAUUUUUGAAAUUACUACGAAACCCAACAGUGGUAUCAGAGCCUAGGUUACUUAUGUUGAUGUUAUAUGCACGAGUAGAACACAAGUGAGUUGUGGACGAUACAAGUCAUACUGCCUACCAGCAUGUCAUACUUUGGUUCGGCGGUAUUGUUGGACGAGACGACCCGGACCAACCUUACGCGUACGCUUACGCGAGACCGGUUCCCUCGACGUGCUUUGCACAUAGAUGGCUUGCGGGCGACUGUCUCUCCAAUUUUAGUUGAACCGAGUAUGGCUACGCCCGGUCCUUGAGAAGGUUAAAACGGAGUCUAUUUGACAAACUAUCGUUGUGGUUUUGAUGCGUAGGUGAGACUGGUUCUUACUUAAGCCCGUAGCAGCCACGUAAAACAUGCAACAACAAAGUAGAGGACGUCUAACUUGUUUUUGCAGGGCAUGUUGUGAUGUGAUAUGGUCAAGGCAUGAUGCUGAAUUUUAUUGUAUGAGAUGAUCAUGUUUUGUAACCGAGUUAUCGGCAACUGGCAGGAGCCAUAUGGUUGUCGCUUUAUUGUAUGCAAUGCAAUCGCGAUGUAAUUACUAAACGGUAGUGAUAGUCGUGGAAGCAUAAGAUUGGCGAGACGACAACGAUGCUACGAUGGAGAUCAAGGUGUCGCGCCGGUGACGAUGGUGAUCAUGACGGUGCUUCGGAGAUGGAGAUCACAAGCACAAGAUGAUGAUGGCCAUAUCAUAUCACUUAUAUUGAUUGCAUGUGAUGUUUAUCCUUUUAUGCAUCUUAUCUUGCUUUGAUUGACGGUAGCAUUAUAAGAUGAUCUCUCACUAAAUUAUCAAGAAGUGUUCUCCCUGAGUAUGCACCGUUGCCAAAGUUCGUCGUGCCCAGACACCACGUGAUGAUCGGGUGUGAUAAGCUCUACGUCCAUCUACAACGGGUGCAAGCCAGUUUUGCACACGCAGAAUACUCGGGUUAAACUUGACGAGCCUAGCAUAUGCAGAUAUGGCCUCGGAACACGGAGACCGAAAGGUCGAGCGUGAAUCAUAUAGUAGAUAUGAUCAACAUAACGAUGUUCACCAUUGAAAACUACUCCAUCUCACGUGAUGAUCGGUCAUGGUUUAGUCGAUUUGGAUCACGUAAUCACUUAGAGGAUUAGAGGGACGUCUAUCUAAGUGGGAGUUCUUAAGUAAUAUGAUUAAUUGAACUUAAAUUUAUCAUGAACUUAGUACCUGAUAGUAUCUUGCUUGUUUAUGUUGAUUGUAGAUAGAUGGCUCGUGCUGUUGUUCCGUUGAAUUUUAAUGCGUUCCUUGAGAAAGCAAAGUUGAAAGAUGAUGGUAGCAGUUACACGAACUGGGUCCGUAACUUGAGGAUUAUCCUCAUUGCUGCACAGAAGAAUUACGUCCUGGAAGCACCGCUGGGUGCCAGGCCUGCUGCUGGAGCAACACCAGAUGUUAUGAACGUCUGGCAGAGCAAAGCUGAUGACUACUCGAUAGUUCAGUGUGCCAUGCUUUACGGCUUAGAAUCGGGACUUCAACAACGUUUUGAACGUCAUGGAGCAUAUGAGAUGUUCCAGGAGUUGAAGUUAACAUUUCAAGCAAAAUGCCCGAACUGAGAGAUAUGAAGUCUCCAAUAAGUUCUAUAGCUGCAAGAUGGAGGAGAACAGUUCUGUCAGUGAGGAUAUACUCAAAAUGUCUGGGUAUAAUAAUCACUUGAUUCAAUUGGGAGUUAAUCUUCCAGAUGAUUACGUCAUUGACAGAAUUCUCCAAUCACUGCCACCAAGCUAUAAGAGCUUCGUGAUGAACUAUAAUAUGCAAGGGAUGAACAAGACUAUUCCCGAGCUCUUCGCAAUGCUGAAAGCUGCGGAGGUAGAAAUCAAGAAGGAGCAUCAAGUGUUGAUGGUUAACAAGACCACUAGUUUCAAGAAAAAGGGCAAAGGAAAGAAGAAAGGGAACUUCAAGAAGAACGGCAAGCAAGUUGCUGCUCAAGAGAAGAAACCCAAGUCUGGACCUAAGCCUGAAACUGAGUGCUUCUACUGCAAGCAGACUGGUCACUGGAAGCGGAACUGCCCCAAGUAUUUGGCAGAUAAGAAGGAUGGCAAGGUGAACAAAGGUAUAUGUGAUAUACAUGUUAUUGAUGUGUACCUUACUAGAGCUCGCAGUAGCACCUGGGUAUUUGAUACUGGUUCUGUUGCUAAUAUUUGCAACUCGAAACAAGGACUACGAAAUAAGCGGGCACUGGCAAAGGACGAGGUGACGAUGCGUGUGGGAAAUGGUUCCAAAGUUGAUGUGAUUGCGGUCGGCACGCUACCUCUACAUCUACCUUCGGGAUUAAUAUUAGACCUAAAUAAUUGUUAUUUGGUGCCAGCGUUGAGCAUGAACAUUAUAUCUGGAUCUUGUUUAAUGCGAGAUGGUUAUUCAUUUAAAUCAGAGAAUAAUGGUUGUUCUAUUUAUAUGAGUAAUAUCUUUUAUGGUCAUGCACCCUUGAAGAGUGGUCUAUUCUUAUUGAAUCUCGAUAGUAGUAAUACACAUAUUCAUAAUGUUGAAGCCAAAAGAUGCAGAGUUGAUAAUGAAAGUGAAACUUAUUUGUGGCACUGUCGUUUAGGUCAUAUCGGUAUAAAGCGCAUGAAGAAACUCCAUACUGAUGGGCUUUUGGAACCACUUGAUUAUGAAUCACUUGGUACUUGCGAACCGUGCCUCAUGGGCAAGAUGACUAAAACACCGUUCUCCGGUACUAUGGAGAGAGCAACAGAUUUGUUGGAAAUCAUACAUACCGAUGUAUGUGGCCCGAUGAAUAUUGAGGCUCGUGGCGGAUAUCGUUAUUUUCUCACCUUCACAGAUGAUUUAAGCAGAUAUGGGUAUAUCUACUUAAUGAAACAUAAGUCUGAAACAUUUGAAAAGUUCAAAGAAUUUCAGAGUGAAGUUGAAAAUCAUCGUAACAAGAAAAUAAAGUUUCUACGAUCUGAUCGUGGAGGAGAAUAUUUGAGUUACGAGUUUGGUGUACAUUUGAAAAACUGUGGAAUAGUUACGCAACUCACGCCACCCGGAACACCACAGCGUAAUGGUGUGUCCGAACGUCGUAAUCGUACUUUACUAGAUAUGGUGCGAUCUAUGAUGUCUCUUACUGAUUUACCGCUAUCAUUUUGGGGAUAUGCUUUAGAGACGGCCGCAUUCACGUUAAAUAGGGCACCAUCAAAAUCCGUUGAGACGACGCCUUAUGAACUGUGGUUUGGCAAGAAACCAAAGUUGUCGUUUCUUAAAGUUUGGGGCUGCGAUGCUUAUGUGAAAAAGCUUCAACCUGAUAAGCUCAAACCCAAAUCGGAGAAAUGUGUCUUCAUAGGAUACCCAAAGGAGACUAUUGGGUACACCUUCUAUCACAAAUCCGAAGGCAAGGCAUUCGUUGCUAAGAAUGGAUCUUUUCUAGAGAAGGAGUUUCUCUCGAAAGAAGUGAGCGGGAGGAAAGUAGAACUUGACGAGGUAACUGUACCUGCUCCCUUACUGGAAAGUAGUUCAUCACAGAAAACUGUUUCAGUGACACCUACACCAGUUAGUGAGGAAGCCAAUGAUAAUGAUCAUGAAACUUCAGAUCAAGAUACUGCUGAACCUCAUAGAUCAACCAGAGUAAGAUCCGCACCAGAGUGGUACGGUAAUCCUAUUCUGGAAGUCAUGAUACUAGAUCAUGAUGAACCUACGAACUAUGAAGAAGCGAUGGUGAGCCCAGAUUCCGCAAAGUGGCUUGAAGCCAUGAAAUCUGAGAUGAGAUCCAUGUAUGAGAACAAAGUAUGGACUUUGGUUGACUUGCCCGAUGAUCGGCAAGCAAUUGAGAAUAAAUGGAUCUUUAAGAAGAAGACUGACGCUGAUGGUAAUGUUACUGUCUACAAAGCUCGACUUGUCGCAAAAGGUUUUCGGCAAGUUCAAGGGAUUGACUACGAUGAGACCUUCUCACCCGUAGCGAUGCUUAAGUCCGUCCGAAUCAUGUUAGCAAUUGCCGCAUUUUAUGAUUAUGAAAUUUGGCAGAUGGAUGUCAAAACUGCAUUCCUGAAUGGAUUUCUGGAAGAAGAGUUGUAUAUGAUGCAACCGGAAGGUUUUGUCGAUCCAAAAGGAGCUAACAAAGUGUGCAAGCUCCAGCGAUCCAUUUAUGGACUGGUGCAAGCCUCUCGGAGUUGGAAUAAACGUUUUGAUAGUGUGAUCAAAGCAUUUGGUUUUAUACAGACUUUCGGAGAAGCCUGUAUUUACAAGAAAGUGAGUGGGAGCUCUGUAGCAUUUCUGAUAUUAUAUGUGGAUGACAUAUUGCUGAUUGGAAAUGAUAUAGAAUUUCUGGAUAGCAUAAAGGGAUACUUGAAUAAAAGUUUUUCAAUGAAAGACCUCGGUGAAGCUGCUUACAUAUUAGGCAUUAAGAUCUAUAGAGAUAGAUCAAGACGCUUAAUUGGACUUUCACAAAGCACAUACCUUGACAAGAUUUUGAAGAAAUUCAAAAUGGAUCAAGCAAAGAAAGGAUUCUUGCCUGUAUUACAAGGUGUGAAGUUGAGUAAGACUCAAUGCCCGACCACUGCAGAAGAUAGAGAGAAUAUGAAAGAUGUUCCCUAUGCAUCAGCCAUAGGCUCUAUCAUGUAUGCAAUGCUGUGUACCAGACCUGAUGUGUGCCUUGCUAUAAGUUUAGCAGGGAGGUACCAAAGUAAUCCAGGAGUGGAUCACUGGACAGCGGUCAAGAACAUCCUGAAAUACCUGAAAAGGACUAAGGAUAUGUUUCUCGUAUAUGGAGGUGACAAAGAGCUCACCGUAAAAGGUUACGUUGAUGCAAGCUUUGACACUGAUCCGGAUGAUUCUAAAUCGCAAACCGGAUACGUGUUUACAUUAAACGGUGGAGCUGUCAGUUGGUGCAGUUCUAAACAAAGCGUCGUAGCGGGAUCUACAUGUGAAGCGGAGUACAUACCUGCUUCGGAAGCAGCGAACGAAGGAGUCUGGAUGAAGGAGUUCAUAUCCGAUCUAGGUGUCAUACCUAAUGCAUCGAGUCCAAUGAAAAUCUUUUGUGACAAUACUGGUGCAAUUGCCUUGGCAAAGGAAUCUAGAUUUCACAAAAGGACCAAACACAUCAAGAGACGCUUCAACUCCAUCCGGGAUCUAGUCCAAGUGGGAGACAUAGAGAUUUGCAAGAUACAUACGGAUCUGAAUGUUGCAGACCCGUUGACUAAGCCUCUUCCACGAGCAAAACAUGAUCAGCACCAAAGUUCCAUGGGUGUUAGAAUCAUUACAGUGUAAUCUAGAUUAUUGACUCUAGUGCAAGUGGGAGACUGAAGGAAAUAUGCCCUAGAGGCAAUAAUAAAGUUAUUAUUUAUUUCCUUAUAAUCAUGAUAAAUGUUUAUUACUCAUGCUAGAAUUGUAUUAACCGAAAACAUAAUACAUGUGUGAAUACAUAGACAAAGAAAGUGUCACUAGUAUGCCUCUACUUGACUAGCUCAUUAAUCAAAGAUGGUUAUGUUUCCUGACCAUAAACAAUGAGUUGUUAUUUGAGUAACGAGGUCACAUCAUUAGUUGAAUGAUCUGAUUGACAUGACCCAUUCCAUUAGCUUAGCACCUGAUCGUUUAGUAUGUUGCUAUUGCUUUCUUCAUGACUUAUACAUGUUCCUAUGACUAUGAGAUUAUGCAACUCCCGUUUGCCGGAGGAACACUUUGGGUGCUACCAAACGUCACAACGUAACUGGGUGAUUAUAAAGGAGCAUUACAGGUGUCUCCAAAGGUAGAUCUUGGGUUGGCGUAUUUCGAGAUUAGGAUUUGUCACUCCGAUUGUCGGAGAGGUAUCUCUGGGCCCUCUCGGUAAUGCACAUCACAUAAGCCUUGCAAGCACUGCAACUAAUAUGUUAGUUGUGAGAUGAUGUAUUACGGAACGAUUAAAGAGACUUGCCGGUAACGAGAUUGAACUAGGUAUUGGAUACCGACGAUCGAAUCUCGGGCAAGUAACAUACCGAUGACAAAGGGAACAACGUAUGUCGUUAUGCGGUCUGACCGAUAAAGAUCUUCGUAGAAUAUGUAGGAGCCAAUAUGGGCAUCCAGGUCCCGCUAUUGGUUAUUGACCGGAGACGUGUCUCGGUCAUGUCUACAUUUGUUCUCGAACCCGUAGGUUACAUUAUGAGUUUAUGCAUUUUGAUGUACCGAAGGUUGUUCGGAGUCCCGGAUGUGAUCACAGACAUGACGAGGAGUCUCGAAAUGGUCGAGACGUAAAGAUUGAUAUAUUGGAAGCCUAUGUUUGGACAUCGGAAGUGUUCCGGGUGAAAUCGGGAUUUUACCGGGUUACCGGGAGGGUUACCGGAACCCCCCGGGAGCUAUAUGGGCCAUAGUGGGCCUUAGUGGAAAAGAGAAGGGGCUGCCCUGGAUGGGCUGCGCGCCUCCCCCCUCCCCUAGUCCUAUUAGGACUAGGAGAGGUGGCCGGCCCCCUCCUCCUCUUUUCCCCCUCCGGGGAAUCCUAAUAGGAAUAGGAUUGGAGGGGAGUCCUACUCCCGGUAGGAGUAGGACUCCUCCUGCGCCUCCCUCCUUGGCCGGCGCCUCCUCCCCCCCUUGGCUCCUUUAUAUACUGAGGUAGAGGCACCCCAAAAGACACAAGUUGAUCCACAUGAUCUAUUCCUUAGCCGUGUGCGGUGCCCCCUGCCACCAUAUACCUCGAUAAUACUGUAGCGGAGUUUAGGCGAAGCCCUGCUGCUGUAGUUCAUCAAGAUCGUCACCACGCCAUCGUGCUGACGGAACUCUUCCCCGACACUUUGCUGGAUCGGAGUCCGGGGAUCGUCAUCGAGCUGAACGUGUGCUCGAACUCGGAGGUGCCGUAGUUUCGGUGCUUGAUCGGUUGGAUCGUGAAGACGUACGACUACUUCCUCUACGUCGUGUCAUCACUUCCGCAGUCGGUCUGCGUUGGGUACGUAGACAACACUCUCCCCUCGUUGCUAUGCAUCACAUGAUCUUGCGUGUGCGUAGGAAUUUUUUUGAAAUUACUACGAAACCCAACACCCAACCCUAGCAAGAUCCACACAACUAAGAAAUUGGAGAACACACUAUAUAAAAUUGUCAAGAAUGAUAAUAAGCAUGGAGAACUAAAAUGUACUAUCACUUCCAUGUAGCUGAGAACCUAAAAUUGGCAAGAAUACAACAUACGCAGAUUUAACAAUUUUCCAAAACAAUACAAAUUCUAGUGUACGUGCAUUGAGCAGAAUAUGGCCAACAAGCCAAGCAAGGCAACAAACAUGUACUCUGUAAAUAAUUAGCUAGAUCCAAGGCCUUCGUUGGCAACAAGGUAAAAACAAAACAAGAAAGACAAAGAAAAAUCUCUUCUUUGGAACCUAGCUAAAUCAGAGAAUUGGCUAGAUAAGAUAGAUGUGCAGGGGUAGGAAGAGGGGGUGGAGCUCACCAUGUUCAGGGGGGUAGGAGGAGGGAGGAGCCAUGAGGGCUCGUGCCUCGUCCACCUGCAGCAAUUGCUACUCAUCCAGAUCGGAAUCGACCUUGUCCACCAGAGGAGCAGGGACGCGUCCAUGCACCUGCGUGACCAAAAGCAGCAACAACGUGAGGGGAGGGGAGGGGAUUAGGGUUGGAGCAGGGAGGAGGGCGGCAUCCCGAGCAGGCCAUUGCGUGGGCGCGGAGCAGGCAUAGCACAAGCACUCGGAGGCCAAGGUCGGACGACAUCGCCAGCGAAUCUGCGAGCACCUUGGCCGCCGCCUGACCUGCUCACUCUCCCUCUUCUCUUCCCUUCCCUUCACUUCUGAUGAUGAGAGGGCGAGACGGCGGGCGGCGUGGUGCGAGGGAGACGAGGAGAGAGGUCCAUGGCGGCGCGGUCCGAGCGGCAGCGGUGGCGGCGAGGUCUGCAGGGCGUUGGUGGCGGCGAAGUGAGCGGGGCGGCGAGGUCUGGUGGAGGGAGAGGGCUGGGGCGAGCGGGGCUGGGAUGCGGGAGGACGGGGUUAAGGGCGCGAGUGUGGGGGAGAGGCGGCUAGGUCAUCUACACGGGAGCGGGCCCUUUUAUACCCCGUGCGAGUGAAAUUAUGAAAAUGCCCCCGGCGAGGCAGGCUAUUUACGCGCGGUGGCACGAAACUGGAGUAACUAUUCAUUCCAGCAGUAACUUUUUUUAUCCUACGGAUGAGGUCGUUACAGGGGUUGAUCCGACGGCCCAGAUCCGAUCAAGCAACCAGAUCCGACAGGCAAGAAUCCCAAAUUGCUGUGGUGCGGGAUGAGGAGCUUCUAUUCUUAUUUCUGGAUGGACGCAAGCGGGCCGCCGACCAUGAAGGAGCACGGGCGCUACCGGCCGCCGUAGAGUGGGAGCCAUGGGCACUGCCGGCCGCCACCGCGGGAUAGCCACGGGCGCCGCCAGCCGCCGCUGGGAUUGCGAUAGGUAGAAAAGGAGGCGGCGGCGUUGUAUGCUGCGUGAGUGAUGUCGUGCGUGAAGGAAUUCACCAGCCACCAGGGAUAAGCUGCGAGGGCCGCGCGUGUUGGGCUAAGAAUUGGGCCGAUAAAAGGCUCAGGAUAACUUUCUGUACGUAUCACCUAGGAGGAGAAACUAAUUAACGAGCGCUCCUUCGGGAGACUCGCAAUGAUCAGCGUCACUUGGCGCGCUCUCAGCCAUUCGCCACGUGUCACGUUUUGGGCGCUCCCUUUGGAUUUUUUUUAUUUUUUCGCGCGCGUUUUUGGCUUCUAAACAGUUUUUUUGACGUUUUGGUUUUCCACCGGUUUUCCCUAGCUUUUCGACCAAAAAAAUCGAAUUGUUUUUCUGUGCAAACAAACUUUUUUUCUCGCGAGAGGCACGGUUGUGCUUUCGCGAGAGGCACGUCUGUGCCUCUUGGAAACGGAAAAAACGUGUUUUCUGUUUUUUUCCUUUCGCGAGAGGCACGGUUUUGCUUCCGCGAGAGGCACGGUUGUGCUUUCGCGAGAGUCACGGUCGUGCCUCUUGGAAAUUAAAAAACAAAUUUUUUGUUUUUUUUCUUUCAUGAGAGGCACGGUUUUGCUUCUGCGAGAGCCACGGUUGUGAUUUCGUUAGAGGCACGGGCGUGCCUCUUUCGGAAAGGGCAAAAACCCGUGCUCCCGGUUCGUUUUUUUCGUUCGGUUUUUUUCGUGAAAAAAAAGUUCGUCAAAACCUAUCAACAUGGGAUCUAGUUUUGAAGAUCUCGACACGAGGAAUCCAAGGGCGAAAGCGGUUCGAGAUUUGGAUGCACGGUUUAAGAGAUAAAACGUUUUGAAUAAACGAAUCUAUGAAAAAAGGGAAAACUCCCAGGUUACGACAAGUGGCGCACAUGCAGAGCCACUUGUCACAACCUGAGGAAGUUGAAAUGAUCUUGGCAAGGAGUACUCUUUAAUUAGUGAUUUCGGGAAAAAGGUGUUUUUUUAUCGUGGAUGGGCUAUUGAGUUGGUUAGUUCGGGGAAUUCGGUCACCUGAGUCCAACGACCGAACCCACCCAAGUAAUUUCGGUUUCUGGUAAUUGGUAACCAAACAAAUAACUGAAGUUUCGGUCCUCGGUUAUUUCGACUUCGGUCCUGGUUUUUUCGGCUCCGGUUUUCCGUUCUCAGUUUUUUCGCCCACCUAGGCGUAGCCGGAGCCAUUUGCAGGGGAAAACAUCCAGAUGAUUGGUGGUUUACCUACAAGCGUUUCAAGGGUAAAAAUCUGCCACUGGAACGAAUGGAAGAUAUAGUGCCUGUUCUGGUUUAGGUAAGUGAAAACUCUAAAGUAGUGUGUGAUAGCAGAUUGUACAUGCCUGAGUGCUCAAGAAAUACCCCUGGCAAAAGCAAAUGUAUACUCCCUCCAUGCCAUAUUAGUUAUCGCUCAAACAUAUGUAUCUACUUCUAGAUACAUCCGUCUGAGCGACAAUUAAUAUGAGAUGGAGGGAGUAUUUCUGAACGGAAAAUUACUUGGUAGUAGUUCUCGUUAUGAGGCUUGAAUAAAUUCAAGGCCUUGCACGGAUGCCUUCUUCAUGAUGGUGAAGGAAAUCAUUCCAGAGAUUGCUUAACAUCAAAGUUUAGGAAACCAUUCAGAUUUAUGUCUCUGAACAGUUCUUUGUAAGCAUUUUGCCAUUACCUGCUCAAAUCCCCAGGUUGGGCUCGAGACCAACCAGCCCCUGGGUAUCCUCAGUGUCCAAUGGACAUGCAUCCUCAGUGUCCAAUUGGGGAUUUCCUUUUUAGAGCUUCAGGAGUUGCAUUUGGUAUCAGCUUUUUUUUUGUUGAUAUAUUCUUCUUAGGACAAUUCAAGCCAUUAGAUGUAAAACACUGAGAGACCACAUAACUGAAUAAUCUGUGCUAGGUAUAGCUGUAACUUUAGCUGCACCAGUAUUGCUAGGAUAUGACUCUCUAAGUCUUGCAUCUGAGUCCAGCGGAUAGACUUUGAUGGAAGAUUUGCUCGCACAAGUUGUAGUAUUAGGCGGCACAUUUUAUAUGGCUGAGUGUAAAAUGGAGUAGAUAGCACAAGCCUUGGGAUUUGUGUGACAUCUGCACAGCAAUCAAAGAGGAAUCAAGUGCAUGUAAUUACUAUUUACUCCCUUUUUAAACUAAUAUAAGAUCUUUUAGAUCACUAAAAUAGUGAUCUUAAAAAGAUCUUAUAGUAUUAUCAGUUUACACUUGAUAGGCCUAGCCUCUGCUUUAGCUUUGCAGUUGAUUUCACUCUGGUAGUGUGCGUUUUCCUCGAUAUCUCUUUUAUGCCUACUCAUGUGAAGGACCGCUGCCCUGGUUUCAGGCAACUUGUGCGUGGCUCGUAGGAGCUGUGGAGACAUGGUUGGACUUCAUUACAUGUUGUUGCGACAAUCAAGAGUUGGAAGAGUCCAGAUGGCGGCAGUUUGAUGCUUACCUGUCAGUCUUCUGAUGCGUAAACACAGAGCAGAACACCUUGAUGCUCCAACGGAAUGCAAGAGAAGAACAGACUUGUUGUGGAUGCUAAAUUCUGUGCUUGUUUGUUUUGCUGUCUGUCUCAUUCUGUCAUUCGCCUUG